RNAcentral lists this ribosomal RNA (460 nucleotides) under uncultured bacterium. Its description in RNAcentral is "partial 16S ribosomal RNA". It matches the Rfam family "Bacterial small subunit ribosomal RNA", at positions 338 to 795 of the family's 1533-position model. The record is from RNAcentral.
CCUACGGGUGGCAGCAGUGAGGAAUAUUGGUCAAUGGACGAGAGUCUGAACCAGCCAAGUAGCGUGAAGGAUGACUGCCCUAUGGGUUGUAAACUUCUUUUAUAAGGGAAUAAAACGAGGUACGUGUGCCUUUUUGCAUGUACUUUAUGAAUAAGGAUCGGCUAAUUCCGUGCCAGCAGCCGCGGUAAUACGGAGGAUCCGAGCGUUAUCCGGAUUUAUUGGGUUUAAAGGGAGCGUAGAUGGGUUGUUAAGUCAGUUGUGAAAUUUUGCGGCUCAACCGUAAAAUUGCAAUUGAUACUGGCAGUCUUGAGUACAGUUGAGGUAGGCGGAAUUCGUGGUGUAGCGGUGAAAUGCUUAGAUAUCACGAAGAACCCCGAUUGCGAAGGCAGCUUACUAAACUGUGACUGACAUUGAUGCUCGAAAGUGUGGGUAUCAAACAGGAUUAGAUACCCUAGUAGUC